CAGUGAUGGCAGCGUUCACAAGGGUAGUGUACCAAUUUUCGAAAAUUUGGAAAAAUUUUUUAUAGAAGUGUACCACUUGACCGAUUUUUUAAUUAAACCCGGAUUAUUUGCAACCAAGCAUUUAAUUUUGACCUAAUAAUUUUAGGUAUUAUAAUUGUUGACGUCCGUAACGCCAGAACUGCAAGAUAACCUUUUAUUAAGCUCAUGCGCCACCCAUAGCAUGGCACGCUUCCCUAAAUACCUUUAAAAGGGGAUUUGAAACACUGGUUUAGAUCAAUGGCUGCGACUGGUUCAUAUUUGACAUCAUAUGAUUGUCGACGUCCACAAUUAAAUGCUUUUACACAGGAAAGAAAAUAGAAUUGUAAAGUUUAAUUUUGUCAUUAAAAAAUUUGUUCGCUAAAACAGUUUUUCAGCAACAUCUUCUAAUUUAGAUCAUAUCUGUGUUCCUUAAAAUCAUACACGCCUCACUAAUAUCAUCUGUAAAUUUGUUCUUUUAGAUUUUGGUUGGCCGAUUUUUUUUUAAAAACAAAGUUUGAAAAUAGAAUGUGUACCAGCCAAAAUCGUCAAGUGUACCAGUAGUGGUACACUGUACCACAGUUUGCCAUCACUGAGCUAGAG
This 618-nucleotide unclassified non-coding RNA is filed under the name Nosema bombycis. Lineage: Eukaryota; Fungi; Microsporidia; Nosematidae. The record is from RNAcentral.